This 439-nucleotide ribosomal RNA is filed under the name uncultured bacterium. Its description in RNAcentral is "partial 16S ribosomal RNA". It matches the Rfam family "Bacterial small subunit ribosomal RNA", at positions 342 to 795 of the family's 1533-position model. The record is from RNAcentral.
CGGGACGCUGCAGCAGUGGGGUAUUUUGCGCAAUGGGGGAAACCCUGACGCAGCAAUACCGCGUGAGUGAAGAAGGCCUUUGGGUCGUAAAGCUCUUUUCUUGGGGAAGAUAGUGACGGUACCCAAGGAAUAAGCACCGGCUAACUCCGUGCCAGCAGCCGCGGUAAUACGGAGGGUGCAAGCGUUGUUCGGAUUUACUGGGCGUAAAGGGCACGUAGGCGGCACAGCAAGUUAAGGGUGAAAUCCCGGGGCUCAACUCCGGAACUGCUCUUAAAACUGCUGAGCUAGAGAUAGUCAGAGGCGGGUGGAAUUCCAGGUGUAGAGGUGAAAUUCGUAGAUAUCUGGAGGAACACCGGUGGCGAAGGCGGCCCGCUGGGGCUAUUCUGACGCUAAGGUGCGAAAGCGUGGGGAGCAAACGGGAUUAGAUACCCUCGUAGUC